Non-coding RNA from Felis catus (domestic cat), 85 nucleotides. Lineage: Eukaryota; Metazoa; Chordata; Mammalia; Carnivora; Felidae. The record is from Rfam.
GCCUGGGUGGCUCAGUCGGUUAAGCGUCCGACUUCGGCUCAGGUCGUGAUAUCGCGGUCCGUGAGUUCAAGCCUCGCGUCAGGCU